GUCCCCCAUCGGGCGGCACAUAUACUAAAAUUGGAUCUAUAAAGAGAAGAUUAGCAUGGCUCCUGCGAAAGGAUGACACGCAAAUCCGUGAAGCGCUCCAUCUGAUC
Molecule: small nuclear RNA, 107 nt
Filed under: Carassius auratus (goldfish)
Lineage: Eukaryota; Metazoa; Chordata; Actinopteri; Cypriniformes; Cyprinidae
Source: RNAcentral